Molecule: ribosomal RNA, 253 nt
Filed under: uncultured bacterium
Lineage: Bacteria
Description: partial 16S ribosomal RNA
Rfam family: Bacterial small subunit ribosomal RNA
Source: RNAcentral
UACGUAGGGGGCAAGCGUUAUCCGGAUUUACUGGGUGUAAAGGGGGCGCAGACGGCGAUGCAAGCCAGGAGUGAAAGCCCGGGGCCCAACCCCGGGACUGCUCUUGGAACUGCGUGGCUGGAGUGCAGGAGGGGCAGGCGGAAUUCCUGGUGUGGCGGUGAAAUGCGUAGAUAUCAGGAGGAACACCGGUGGCGAAGGCGGCCUGCUGGACUGCAACUGACGUUGAGGCCCGAAAGCGUGGGGAGCAAACAGG